RNAcentral lists this long non-coding RNA (298 nucleotides) under Panax ginseng (ginseng). Its description in RNAcentral is "long non-coding RNA (PGIN_LNC012517)". The record is from RNAcentral. Lineage: Eukaryota; Viridiplantae; Streptophyta; Magnoliopsida; Apiales; Araliaceae.
AAAAAAAGAAGAAGAAAUAAAUAACUGCUUCAAUGUCCAUUAAACGAAAUAACUGGGUAUCCAAGCCUCGGGAAGCAUCGGUAUUCACGCUGAAAAGUAUGAUGGAUAAAAGCAGCUUGACUAGUCUAAAUUUUGUGGCCUUUGUUACUCGAGUUAGUAAAUCCUUAGGGGUGUCUCUACACCUAGUGCCCUAAAGCCAUCUGGUUUGGGAGUCAUUGGUCCAACGCUCGCUCUACAUGGGUAACUCUGAAAAGCCUAAGAAAAUAAGACAUUGCACAAGUCAAGAAUUAAAAAAAAA